UUGAGGAAUGGGAGCGCGCCGACAUAGAUGAUUGGAGAAGCGUUGCAGCUACUCAGGCCACAGCGCGGCCCACUCGACCCAGCAACUAUUGGCGGCGUGCGGCGAGACGUAGCACAGUGGGACAAAUGGGUCUUUUUGUGGACAAAAAUCGCUAGACGGCGUAAUUCUUAAGGGGUAACACUACUGUAGAAUUUUCAGAAAAUAAAUUUUUUUUUAUUGGCUUAAAAAAUGCUUUGAACCUUCUAAAAUAUGAGGCAAAAAGUCUAAUCCCUGAAAAAAAAUUUGUUCUAUGGAAUUCCGAGCUCCUCCCCUAGCGCCUCGAAUGACCCGAAACGGCCUAUCUGCGCCAACUUGAUACCCGCUGAGAAAUAAUUCUGAGGUGCAAAAGAAAGAAUGCAUUGAUCACGUGCAGAAUAGAAUGGGGACCCGAUUGAGAAAUUAAAAAAAAAAGGUAAAAGGCGGAAAUCGGUGGAAAAGGAAGUUUUCAAGGCAAUUAAACCGAUUUAUGAGGAGCUGAGCCGAGAAGAAUUAUUAAACCGUUGCUUAGGAGGUUAUACACAAAAUAGCAAUGAAAGUUUCAAUGCUGCAGUUUGGAAUUUGGCUCUAAAAUCGUAUUCCAGCGGCAACAAAGUCUUGAACAUAGCGACAGAUAUUGCUGUGUGUGUUUUUAAUGAUGGUGUGACGAAUAUUCUACAGAUUAUGAAAGUUAUGGAGAUGGACAUUGGUAUCUAGUCAUACAAUUUUUGCAUGGAAGCCGAUGCUAACCGCAUAAAGUACGCUGAGCUGUCCUUGUCAGAUGCGGCAAAGAAGGCACGUUCCAACUUAAAAUCGGCCAGGAAACAAACUGAGGAGGAAAAUUUGAACUUGGAAGGGCAACUUUAUCUUAGAAUAGCAGAUUAAUGAUUCAAAUUGGCACCAGUUAUAGUGCGUGCCGCAGAUCGCCUCAAAUUCAACAUGCCUCGGGAGAAUUGCUGCAGUGUCGCCAUUUUGUAAUAUUUUCCUACAAAAAUUUUUUAUAAUAUACUUAAAUAUAUGCUCAAUAACUACCCCAAGUAUUAUUUCUUUAUCACCUUUCCUUCCGCCCAAAAAAAAUUGUCAAAAAAACGCUUUCUUAGUCCGUUACAGUAGUGUUACCUCUUAACCGUUUUCAUGCUUUUAUUUUUAAUUUACUUGCGAUGAAUUGCUCUACAAUCGUAUCGAGCCCAUUUUUUAAAUUAGGCCCUCAAUUCAAAAUGGCGGACGUGCAAAUUUGUCAAAUGUAUAAAACCUGUAAAAUAUCGAAUAUUUUUGGAUCGGACAAAGUUUAUACAGGCUUUAAGGCCUCCGAGAUACAUAUGUAAGAUCGAAAUUCUCAGUUUUUGUCAGUGGAGAGGAUCUGCAGUGGCCCGAUAUAUUUUAUACCUGCCUGAUAUCCCCACAUUAUCAAUGU
Molecule: unclassified non-coding RNA, 1429 nt
Filed under: Harpegnathos saltator (Jerdon's jumping ant)
Lineage: Eukaryota; Metazoa; Arthropoda; Insecta; Hymenoptera; Formicidae
Description: uncharacterized LOC112588116, transcript variant X1
Source: RNAcentral